RNAcentral lists this long non-coding RNA (6754 nucleotides) under Panax ginseng (ginseng). RNAcentral's name for it is "long non-coding RNA (PGIN_LNC013287)". The record is from RNAcentral. Lineage: Eukaryota; Viridiplantae; Streptophyta; Magnoliopsida; Apiales; Araliaceae.
UCACAUAUCACAACCAUGUAGUAGAUCCAAAUUCAGAAAUAGAGAGAGAGAGAACAGUUAGAUGUACUGUCACUGAAGUAGAUCCAUCAUGGAAGCGUCGUAGGGCAGCAUAUUUGCGACGGAAAGGUCUCCUUUUUAUUCUUUUAUGUCUUCUUCCAUUUACAGAUAUGUGUUUCUGUGUGUCAAUUUCGGCAUGGCAAAGUAUUGAUCUUGAUUUUUGCAUCACAUGUUGGAUAACCUACACUAGUUUGAACAUAUAGACACAUUUAAGAUAUUUGGGAAUUAAUUAUCGAAAAGGCAUGAAUCUGAAUUCUGAACAUAUACUACUCUCUGUUCUUUAAUAUAGGUCGUUUUAGACAUGUGCACAAGAAUUAAGGAAAUGAUUGAAAAACAUUAACUAUAGUAUCAAUUGUCUAUAAUACCCUUCACUUCACUUAUCUCAUAAAUAUGAAUCAAAAGAUUAAGUGGAGUAAUAAAGGACAAUUUGAAAAAAAUAGUAAUCAAUUCUCCUAGAUCUAUUUUAGAUUUUUUUUUAUAUUCCUAAUUAUUUGUCGCUACAUCCCUAUUUUGGUGUAGUAUUGUGAUAACCCAGAUUUUUGGUAAUUAUUAAAAUAAGAAUUAAAUAAAGAAAAUUCUUAUUAGAUGAUAUGGUAUACGAUAUAAUAUUGCAUAAAUGAGUAAGAGUUAUGCAAUAUGUGAUGUUUAUGCUUAAUAAAUAUAUUAGUACUAUAUAUUUAUUGUAUGUAAAUAAAAUGAACAAAUUGGAUGAUGAAAUUAAAGUAUUUAAUGAACCAAAUAUUUGAUUUUGGUUAAUACUGGAAUUACAUGUAAUUUUAAAACAUAAAAUAAAUUAUAUAAAAUUUCAAGUAUGAGGUGGAAAUAUUUUAUGUAUAUGUAAUAUAUACAUUAUGUGUUAUAAUUAAUGAGAAAGUAAGUACAUGUAAUAUACAUGUAUGUUUAUGUGUUGGAAAUUAAAAAAGGGUGAGUGCAAGUUCUGGAAAUUUAAAGUACUAUUGCUGCUGAGUCAUUUAUUAUAUAGCAGGAGGUGUGAAGUUUAGGAUGAUAAGGAACUAAGCAUGAUGCAUAGUCAUUUUCUUAAAGCGUGAGCUGGUUACUUGUUAGAUUAGUACAGGACACCAAGCAAUAUAGGAAGAAUAUAAAAACUUAUCAUUCUCUGCCCCUCACAUUUCGUCUGAAGGUAAGAAAGAAAAAAAUAGACCAGCCUUACCCAUUCCAUAUCUAUCUGUUCGAAAAGAAGGAAAGGUGAAGGAAAAUUUUGUUAACUCCCAAACCUUCACCAAACUCUUAGUUUCGGUUGGAACCAAUACAAGCAUUAGGAAAUUGAAAUUUCAAGCUAAUUUGAGGAGAAAUGAAACGCAACAGCAGGAAGAAGAUGAACUACAAUUAUCAAGCAAACAAGAAUCCAAAUAGGAACAUCAAACAAGAGGUAAAUCAAUUUCUAUUUGUCAAUUCGUGGGAAUUAGAGUAAGAUUUUAUUGUGCAUUGCUUUGUUCGAUUGCGGAAUUAUAUGAUGAUGGGAGUGUAUCCUCUAUGGAGUAAUAAAGAUGAAAAAAUUUGGGCUUGACCAUGCUCUAACAUUUAUGAAUCCUGUCCUUAAAACUAACGUGCAUAAAAUGUUUGAUUAAUUGUCUAUAAGAGACUGUUAUGCUCAAAUCGAGCAAUUUAAAGGAAGAAAUUAGUAAGAAUUCCUUCUACCCGAUUUAUGAAAUAAUUCAAGUGAAGUGGGUAAGAUAAAUUGAGUCUAAAAACUAAUAUGAAGCAAAAAUUAAGAAUCUAGCCUAGUUGAGAAUUUGACCGACAUGCUAUUUUUGAGGCUGUGUAAAAUGUGUUUGUAAAGUCUGUUUUGGUUGGGUAAUAUUUUUUUAAAAAUAUUAUGCCAUGUCAAGUAGAACAUAUUAAAAAUUGGUUACGUUUGGACUUACGGUUUAGAAGUUAUUAAUUUGAAAAGUAGGCAGUUUGGCUAUGGUGCUGAAAAUGGGCAGCAGCAGCUGCUGUGCGCUGCGCUGUGCUGCUGCGAAUGUUCGGGCUGAGCUGUUUUGGCUUCUGUUAAAUUCACUUAGAAUGCCUGAAUUCACUAAGUUAUAAUUUGUAAAAAUACUAUGAUAUACCCUUUAUAACAUGCUAAAUUUUGGUUUCCAUUGGACUUGUGGGUUGCGAACUAGAAAAUAGAAAAGGUGACCAGAGAGCGUGGUUUGAUUGCUGCAGUAGUUCGCCUGCUAUGGCUGUUUCGGUUGAGUUGUUGUGCUCUAUUUGGGACUGUUUUUGAAAACAAUGCACACCUAGUGUUUGACAAAAGUCUUAUAUGGACUGUUUUACUUAAAAACCAAGAAUUUGGGAAAGCCAAAGUUAAGAUUUCAUGUAUAAACAUCUUAUACAGUUAGUUAAAAGUUUUGAAGGAAUCAAACUAGAACGAAAAAUGAUUUAAAGCUAAAACGAGAAAUCAAAAGUUAAUUUAUCGGGCUACUUUUGGGCUAACUGUUUAGGCUAGUUAGACUUUUCAGAAAAUUAUAAUUUUUUGGGUUCUUGUAGUGUACCGUCCCAGCUAUUCGUAGCCUCCGAAACGGACUAAUUCCGACUUCGGAGGAGGGAGCUAUGGCAUACUAAAGUGGCUGUGGCGAAUCUGUCCAAAAUCUGGAAAUCAGAUUCUGACCAGCCCCUUGCACAGAUUUUCUGGAAUUAUGGGUGCAGAAUUUGGAAAAGGUUAUGGAAUAAGAGUUGUAGCCCUGGAAGUUAGCUUCGCGUGGGCGCUAGAAUCACUCAAAAAUGUUUUCAAACGAAUUAGUUAUGACUGCUUUAGCUAGAGAGGGUAAAGCUGAGAAAAAAUUAAAAACAGUUAUGAUUGGGCAUUUUUAAGUUCUGUCUUGGGCUGCCUAUGAUGUCUAAAAUGGGUGACUUAUAUUUUUUAAAUAUAUUCUCUUAUGGUGUUUAUAGCAUAUCCAAAAGUGGGGGAAAACUAACUUAAGAAUUAAAAAUUACAAAAUCGCAUAGUGGCCUCGUUGCGAAGAGGACUGCUGCCCAGGGCAGCAGUGUGCAUCAGCAACGAACUGCAGUGGCAGUGGUUGAAGUCUCCUUUGAGCUCUCAGUUGACGCAUUUAAACUAUUCAAAAUGUUAGUUUUUUUCCAAAAUGGGUGGGUAUACAACCUAUAUUUUAUUCAAAACCCAUUGGUUGGCAUAAAUAAGUUAUGCAUUAAUAUAAGAUAUACAAAUAACAUAUGUUUAUCUACAUGCUAAGAGAACAAGACAUGAUUUUUCAUUACAGGCAAGGCGUAUAUACAAAAGCAUAUAUACACCUCAUGUAUACCUGAAAUGGGGAAAAGUAAUGUUAUGUGAUAGUAUUAUUCGUGCAAAACGAAGUCCAAGUUACUCGCGAAAACGGAAUUAAGCUAUGAAUGCAUGCAUAAAGAAAAACACAAGUGCACUAUAUGAUUAUAAAUUUACAUAUAUAUGAAUAUUAAGCCUAUAAAUGGAAGGUAAUGGCAUUCCAAAAACUAUAUUGGAACCUGUUGUGCGAAAUAUGAUUAUAUAUUAAGCUAAAACUUAAAAUAUUUGAAAAAGAAUAUGGAAGUUCCUGGAAAUGAGAAUAUAAGUUAUUGAUAUAACGUAUAUGAAUGUUUAAUAUCUAUACAGAAGUAUGUGGCUAAUGUAUGCCUACAACAUAAUUGUGUAGGACUCGUGAUGCGAAGUUAAACUAGCUAAAGUUUGUAUCAAUGGUCAUUGAACGAGGCAAGUUUUUCAGUUCUGUUAUGUUUGUGGAUGGAAUGUGGUUAUGUGCUAAAUUACAUAUCAUGCUCUAUGAAUUGUUAAAGUCAAAAUAUGACUCAGUUAAUUGGGUUAUGGAACUCAAUUUAUAUGUGAUUUAUGAUAACACAUGUUGUAUGAUGUAACUCGAUAAAUUAAAAAUGUAUAAUGCAUGAAUGUAUGCUUUGUAAGGAAUUAUUGAUGCAUGUAGGAUAUGCAUAGUAAAGAAUAUAUGUUGCAUGCGGAUAUGCAUAUUAAGGGUAAUGUAGUGCAUAUGGAAUUGUGUGCUAUGUGAAACAUGAUAGACUGUUAAAUUUGCUGGGCUGUCGAGCUCAAUCUUGCAAACACAAACUUUUUGCAGGUUAAUGACGUUAUGCAAUAUUAUUUUUGUUUUGCGGAUGAUGAAGGAUGAAUGAUGGACGAAAUAAAUACAUUUCUUUGAAUUAGAAAUGGUAUAAAGCUAUGAUUGAUAGUUGCUAAAUAUAAUUGGCAGUAAUGUAUAGUUUGAAACGUUAAAUAGAUAAAGAAUGUUUAUUCUGAAAUGAGAAUAAAUAUAAUUUUAGUAUAAAGAAGAAUUGUAAAGGUUGCGAUUCAGGGAAUGAAUGAAUGGGAAUAAAGAAGAAAAUUAAAAUUUAUUCUGCAUUUUUAGCUAUUUUAACAUUAAAUAAUGUUUUAAAGCUAUAACAAGGUAGUAUUAACGCACAAGAUCGGGAAGGGAAAUGGUCCCGAUUUUGGGGUUGUUACAAGUAUCACUUUUGGGAUGUAGCGAAGGAAAUUUUAUGAAGGAAUUUAUUCCUUCACAUGAGGAGUUUUUUAGCGAAAGAACAGUGAAGGAAAAAAGUAUAGUGACAAUAUAGUUAUUAGCGAAAGAAAUAUCCUUGACAAUUUAUAUUUUUUCCUCGCAAAAUUGGGGUGAUAGAAAGAUUUUUGGAGCCAAUUUAUGAUGAAAAUUUGCGAGAAAAAAAAUCUAUUUAGUGAAUGAAUUAUUAUUCACUAUAUAUUAUUGUUCAGAAGUUUUUUGCGGGAGAUAAAAUUGGUAACAAAUUUGUUCUAAAUAAAAUUUUUAGAAUUAAUUAUGGUUAAUAUAAAUACAUUUCAUGGAAGAGGGAAAGGUUGUAAGCCCUAGCUCAAUGACUGCAUUUUGUUCCUCUUUUUACCCAAAAAAUUUUGCGUCGCUCUCUUUUUCACCUGUGAUUUCCUUUUCCCUCUCCCUCUUCCUCUUCCUAUUCACCGGCGAUUCCCUCUUCCUUCUUCAUUGUCGAGGAUUGCCUCUCUCAAUAUUAUUAUUCCUCUUCAUUUUCGUUUUUGAUCUCUCUUUAGCUACUUGGGUCUUCACAUCUCCAUAUUACUAAAGCAUAAUAAUCCAUCAAGUUAUUGUUAAGGAUAUAGCCGAAUUCUUUGAGAAUUAAGUCUAUAACCAAAUUAGAAGAGGGAUUGGAGUAAGAGGCAGUCCAAAUGAGGAUUUGAACUCAUCUAACUGGAAGUUUGGGGCUAGAACUCAGUAGAUUAAAGAGGCAAGUCUUAUGUUUUUAAUUAUGAUUACAUAAAUUUAGUUGAAUAAAGUAUUGUGUUGCAAUGUUUGUUGUGUUUGCUUAUGAACUGUUUGUAGUCAAGGGAGUUUAGAAUGUUUGUAGUAAUAAGGAAUGAUUAUUAUGGAAAAUUAUGGUUAAACCAUUCUCCAACAUCUAUUAAUUCUGGGUUUUUAAGUGUUGCAUUUAAUGUAUUUGAUAAAAUACCUCAAAGAGGUUAUGUGUUUAGAAAUUGAGAAUUAGCUUAAGUUUUGAACAAAAAGACAUUUGUUAUAUUAUCAGACACAAUUUUCUUCAUGUUAAAUACUAGAGUUGUCAAAUGUUUAGAGACAACAGAGUCAUAUGCUCAUGGAUAUCUUUUGUUAGCAGAAGGCCUGGACAAACCAGUAUUUAGAGGAGCUGAAAUAUACAUAAUGUUGGAGGUUGCCAACAGUUUGUCUAAGGCGUAAAUGUUAGGAACAUAUGUAAUAGGUUAAUACUUAAUAUCCAGUGUCCUUAUUGUAAUAGAACUGUUUGAUUUUAUAGUUUGAGAGUUACGUAAGAUGAAUUAUUGCUAGCUUGCAGCUUUACCAAGUGUUUAUGGGAAUUUAAUUUAUUGAUAAAGACUGUAUUCAGAAUAGAUAUUAAUUAUGUUUUAUGAGUAAACUUGUAGUUGUAUGUAUUAUUAUAGUAUAUAGCCUGGAAAGUGAAAAAGGUUUCAAAAUAGAGUAAGUAAUGAAUUCUGUUAUUUGAUAUUCAAUUUUUUUUUUCAGGAGCCUUUUGUUAAUAUUCCGAAGGAUACAAUUCGUGAGGCAUUAAAAGUUGUCAUUGAUAAUGUACUCUCUGUUCUUUACACUUUGCAUAGACUGUGAUGAAUUAAAUGUAACUGGUUAGAGUUUUGAAUUAUUAACCAAUACUUUUUUGUGUUGGUAUUUCUUAUAUUAGGAAUCACCCAUUAUUGAUCCAUUGAAAACGAGGAAAGGUGUGUGUAUUAUGUAGUGCAUAGCCUCAUCAUUAAUCUAUUGAAACAAUUCGUAAUUUAAAUGGGUGUUUGUUAUGGCUUUGUUGUUCAGCACCGAACAUGUUGUGUAGUUGGGUGCUUGAGAAAAUUGUAGAAAUGGUGCCUGACUUCUAUAUUUGAUGAGUAGGUAAUUAGUUUAGCUGAGAAAAAAUUAUUCUUAAUUAAACUAUUCGUUUUAGUUACACGGCAGUGGUUGUUAGGAAAUGAGUCUUUACGUAAUACAACAUUUGCCCCUCUUGGGUAGUGUGAUUCUCAAUUGGUAAAAUUGAACUUGAAAUUUUAAGGAGAGUACAGGUGUUGUAUGAAGGUUCUCUUUUAGAAAUUCAAUCAUCUUCGUUUCUUGGUUUACCCAUUAUUAUAUAUUCAGAAGAUCAAUAAUUGCAAUAGUUUUCGUCAAAAUUGAUAACAUACUUUCUUGAUGAAGUUGUUCAUCCUACAAGUAUGAGAUGGGUCAUGACUCUCCUU